Molecule: ribosomal RNA, 2909 nt
Filed under: Clostridium botulinum
Lineage: Bacteria; Bacillati; Bacillota; Clostridia; Eubacteriales; Clostridiaceae
Description: bacterial LSU rRNA
Rfam family: Bacterial large subunit ribosomal RNA
Source: RNAcentral
UAAGGUCAAGCUACAAAGGGCGCAUGGUGAAUGCCUUGGCACUAGGAGCCGAAGAAGGACGCGAUAAGCUGCGAUAAGCCUUGGGUAGCCGCAAAUAGGCUGAGAUCCAGGGAUUUCCGAAUGAGGAAACUCACAUGGGUAACCCCAUGUAUCAUGCACUGAAUACAUAGGUGUAUGAGGGUAAACCCGGGGAACUGAAACAUCUAAGUACCCGGAGGAAGAGAAAGAAAAAUCGAUUUCCUAAGUAGCGGCGAGCGAACGGGAAAGAGCCCAAACCAGAAACUUGUUUCUGGGGUUGUGGAUAGAUCAUAAAAGAAGAGGUAUCUUAAUCGAAGAGGGCUGGAACGCCCUACCAUAGAAGGUAAUAGUCCUGUAGGUAAAAAGAGAAAACUUCGAGAUCUAAUCCAGAGUACCACGAGACACGUGAAACCUUGUGGGAAGCAGGGAGGACCACCUCCCAAGGCUAAAUACUACCUAGUGACCGAUAGUGAAGCAGUACCGUGAGGGAAAGGUGAAAAGAACCCCGGAAGGGGAGUGAAAUAGAACCUGAAACCGUGUGCCUACAACCGAUCGGAGCACGUUAAAGUGUGACGAUGUGCUUUUUGUAGAACGAGCCAGCGAGUUACGCUAUGUAGCAAGGUUAAGUACUUAAGGUAUGGAGCCGAAGGGAAACCGAGUCUGAAAAGGGCGAAAAGUUGCAUGGUGUAGACCCGAAACCGGGUGACCUAUCCAUGGCCAGGUUGAAGCGAGAGUAAAAUCUCGUGGAGGACCGAACCACGUUGGUGUUGAAAAACCAUGGGAUGAGCUGUGGAUAGCGGAGAAAUUCCAAUCGAACUCGGAGAUAGCUGGUUCUCCUCGAAAUAGCUUUAGGGCUAGCGUCGUGUAAUUGAGUAAUGGAGGUAGAGCACUGAAUGGGCUAGGGGCUAUAGUAGUUACCGAACCCUAUCAAACUCCGAAUGCCAUAUACUUGUAUCACGGCAGUCAGACUGCGAAUGAUAAGAUCCGUAGUCAAAAGGGAAACAGCCCAGACCAUCAGCUAAGGUCCCAAAGUGUAAGUUAAGUGGAAAAGGAUGUGGGAUUUCUAAGACAACUAGGAUGUUGGCUUAGAAGCAGCCACUCAUUUAAAGAGUGCGUAAUAGCUCACUAGUCAAGAGAUCCUGCGCCGAAGAUGUCCGGGGCUCAAACUUACCACCGAAGCUAUGGGUGUACACUACGUGUACGCGGUAGGGGAGCUUUCUGUAUGGGUUGAAGUCGUACCGUAAGGAGCGGUGGACUGUACAGAAGUGAGAAUGCUGGCAUAAGUAGCGAGAAAUAAGUGAGAAUCUUAUUGGCCGAAAACCUAAGGUUUCCUGAGGAAGGUUCGUCCGCUCAGGGUUAGUCGGGACCUAAGCCGAGGCCGAAAGGCGUAGGUGAUGGACAAUCGGUUGAUAUUCCGAUACCACCUAUUUACGUUUGAGAAAUGGGGUGACGCAGUAGGAUAAGAUGUGCGCACUAUUGGAUGUGCGUCUAAGCACUUAGGCAUGCUUGAUAGGCAAAUCCGUCGAGCUAAGCUGAGGUGUGAUGGGGAGCCAUUUAUGGCGAAGUAUCUGAUUCCACACUGCCAAGAAAAGCCUCUAUCGAGUGAAUAGGUGCCCGUACCGCAAACCGACACAGGUAGGUGAGGAGAGAAUCCUAAGGCCAUCGGAAGAAUUGCUGUUAAGGAACUCGGCAAAUUGACCCCGUAACUUCGGGAGAAGGGGUGCCUACGAAAGUAGGCCGCAGAGAAUAGGCCCAAGCAACUGUUUAGCAAAAACACAGGUCUCUGCUAAAGCGAAAGCUGAUGUAUAGGGGCUGACGCCUGCCCGGUGCUGGAAGGUUAAGGGGAACACUUAGCGUAAGCGAAGGUGUGAACUUAAGCCCCAGUAAACGGCGGCCGUAACUAUAACGGUCCUAAGGUAGCGAAAUUCCUUGUCGGGUAAGUUCCGACCCGCACGAAUGGCGUAAUGAUUUGGGCACUGUCUCAACAGCAAAUCCGGCGAAAUUGUAGUGCAAGUGAAGAUGCUUGCUACCCGCGAUUGGACGGAAAGACCCCGUAGAGCUUUACUGUAGCUUAGCAUUGAAUCUCGGUAUUGUCUGUACAGGAUAGGUGGGAGACUUGGAAACUUGGGCGUCAGCCUGAGUGGAGUCAUCCUUGGGAUACCACCCUGACAGUACUGGGGUUCUAACCGGCGGCCAUGAAUCUGGUCACGGGACAUUGUUAGGUGGGCAGUUUGACUGGGGCGGUCGCCUCCUAAAAAGUAACGGAGGCGCCCAAAAGUUCCCUCAGCGCGGUCGGAAAUCGCGCGAAGAGUGCAAAGGCAGAAGGGAGCUUGACUGCGACACAUACAGGUGGAGCAGGGACGAAAGUCGGGCUUAGUGAUCCGGUGGUACCUCGUGGGAGGGCCAUCGCUCAACGGAUAAAAGCUACCUCGGGGAUAACAGGCUGAUCUCCCCCAAGAGUCCACAUCGACGGGGAGGUUUGGCACCUCGAUGUCGGCUCGUCGCAUCCUGGGGCUGGAGUAGGUCCCAAGGGUUGGGCUGUUCGCCCAUUAAAGCGGCACGCGAGCUGGGUUCAGAACGUCGUGAGACAGUUCGGUCCCUAUCCGUCGCGGGCGUAGGAAAUUUGAGAGGAGCUGUCCUUAGUACGAGAGGACCGGGAUGGACCAACCUCUGGUGCACCAGUUGUCACGCCAGUGGCACAGCUGGGUAGCUAUGUUGGGACUGGAUAAACGCUGAAAGCAUCUAAGCGUGAAGCCAACCUCAAGAUGAGAUUUCCCAUAGCGUAAGCUAGUAAGACUCCUGGAAGAACACCAGGUUGAUAGGUCAGAGAUGUAAGCAUGGCAACAUGUUAAGUUGACUGAUACUAAUAAGUCGAGGGCUUGACCAAAUAA